CCGCGCUGCUGGGACAGGUGUUCCUCCGCUUCGUCACCCACCUUGCCCCCAAGGCUCUUUUGUGAUUCAAAAACAAAACCCACAGUUUGUGAGUCAUUAAGGGAUCUGUGAUCUUAGUUUCUGGCAAUUUGUUUCAGGCCAUUUCACGAAAAAUCGGAGGCCCAUCAUUGUGACCAUGGGCAAUUUUCUGGGUCUCAUUUUCUCGGUCAGUGCUCUGAAAGGGCGGGACUUUGACAUGAGAGCUUCCCUGGUUUGCUUGAAAGCAGCAGGUCGUUUUCUGCACAGAAGAGGGCCAUUGAAUAAUGGGUAAUGGGGAGCCACUUGGAGGACAGCGAAUCCUUCUUGCUCAGCUGUGGCCUCGAGGACCCUCCUUGAGUCCCCUACCAAACAGUGUGAAAACCCACUUCCUGCAUGUGCUGGGCCUGCCCUACCAAGACCAGCUUCCUCCGGACUCCUGCCUUCUCGUCCUCUAGCAGUUUCCUGAGAGCUCGCGGCGAGGCUGAGGUCAGAGCCCCAGAACACAGAAAGCCGUGCGACGCGGCGAGAGACGGCGCCUGUCGCAAGGCCGGCGCGGGCCGUGGAUGCGCAGGGACAGAGCGCUCUCAGGCAGGGCUCGCGCGUCCCACCGUCGUGACCCUGCCUUUCACUGACCAACCGCUGGUCUACAGGGGUUCCGCUCCGCCCGCAGCGAGGCCACCUGAGAGUCCCUGUGCCCGUGGUGCCUUUUCUCCCUUGGCCUCCGAGUGCUCCUUCGGACACGCCGCCGGCACCGUCGUUCUGUUGACGGCUGCCGCCCAGAGACGGAUGAUGGUUCUCUGAACCAGAGUCCUGACCUGCAGCGCGGACUGCGUCUUCCUGCGAUACGGUGACUGUCUCUCCACGGCGUAGACCCUCUGUUCUCAGUAGUUCCUUACAGGUGACCUUUCUCCUCGCUUUUCACGGGCUUGCCGGUCCCACAGUCGUUUCACUGCAAAUGAGGUUUUGUGAUCGGGAAACUCUGCCCCCGUUUUAAAGCACAGAAGACACGGAGCCGUCGAGCACCGGCUGGCGUGUGCUGCCUCCCAGGCUGGGAGACUGAGUGCGGCGUUCAGGCAUUUGCUUUCUGGCUUUUCAGAAAUGCGUGCCAUCGGCCUGAACUUGACACACGUGGCUCCCAGCUGCAGCCGCACUGUGGAGAAUGGCAGCCCGCCCGUGGCCUCCCUGAGUGGACGCGUGACGCUGGCUGCCUUGGGGAGAAGGUCGGUGCGGACGUAGAAUGGAAGUCCGCCGGCCGGUGGAAGGGGAUGGGUCCGAACUGCCGAGUAGUUGGCCCCAAACAAGCAAACAAAAACACCAGAACUUGUGUUUGAAACAAUGGUUGUGUCUAUUUGCUGGUUGUGGAUAAUCACAUGUGCCCCUCUCCUCCAUGCGACUGCUUGGGAAUAAAUAGAUGGAUGAUUGUACGUGGCUCA
This 1451-nucleotide long non-coding RNA is filed under the name Ursus maritimus (polar bear). RNAcentral's name for it is "lncRNA (ENSUMAG00000016861.1)". The record is from RNAcentral. Lineage: Eukaryota; Metazoa; Chordata; Mammalia; Carnivora; Ursidae.